CCUACGGGGGGCAGCAGUGAGGAAUAUUGGUCAAUGGACGAGAGUCUGAACCAGCCAAGUCGCGUGAAGGAGGACUGCACUGUGGGUUGUAAACUUCUUUUAUAUGGGAAUAAAAUGUUCCACGCGUGCGCGUUUGUGUGUACCAUAUGAAUAAGGAUCGGCUAACUCCGUGCCAGCAGCCGCGGUAAUACGGAGGAUACGAGCGUUAUCCGGAUUUAUUGGGUUUAAAGGGAGCGUAGGUGGAUUGUUAAGUCAGUUGUGAAAGUUCGCGGCUCAACCGUAAAAUUGCAGUUGAAACUGGCAGUCUUGAGUACAGUAGAGGUGGGCGGAAUGCGGGGUGUAGCGGUGAAAUGCUUAGAUAUCACGAAGAACUCCGAUUGCGAAGGCAGCUCACUGGACUGCAACUGACACUGAGGCUCGAAAGUGUGGGUAUCAAACAGGAUUAGAUACCCGGGUAGUC
This 460-nucleotide ribosomal RNA is filed under the name uncultured bacterium. Its description in RNAcentral is "partial 16S ribosomal RNA". It matches the Rfam family "Bacterial small subunit ribosomal RNA", at positions 338 to 795 of the family's 1533-position model. The record is from RNAcentral.